Molecule: ribosomal RNA, 292 nt
Filed under: uncultured Acidobacteriota bacterium
Lineage: Bacteria; Pseudomonadati; Acidobacteriota
Description: uncultured Acidobacteria bacterium partial 16S ribosomal RNA
Source: RNAcentral
GGACUACUGGGGUUUCUAAUCCUGUUUGCUACCCACGCUUUCGUGUCUCAGCGUCAGUGAUGGUCCAGUAAGCUGUCUACACCACAGGUGUUCCUCCUGAUAUCUACGCAUUUCACCGCUACACCAGGAAUUCCGCUUACCUCUCCCAUACUCAAGCCCACCAGUUUUCAACGCACCCUCCCGGUUAAGCCGGGAGAUUUCACGUCGAACUUAGUGAACCGCCUACACACCCUUUACGCCCAGUAACUCCGAACAACGCUUGCUGCCUACGUAUUACCGCGGCUGCUGGCAC